This 85-nucleotide microRNA precursor is filed under the name Melampsora larici-populina 98AG31. RNAcentral's name for it is "microRNA mir-598". Lineage: Eukaryota; Fungi; Basidiomycota; Pucciniomycetes; Pucciniales; Melampsoraceae. The record is from RNAcentral.
AUCUGAAGAUGAUGAUGAGGAUGAUGAUGAUGAUGAAGAUGACAAGUUAUGGUGUUCAACUUUAUCAUCAACUUUACCAUUUGUU